Molecule: ribosomal RNA, 328 nt
Filed under: Discocorpus mexicanus
Lineage: Eukaryota; Metazoa; Arthropoda; Insecta; Psocodea; Heptapsogasteridae
Description: partial 12S ribosomal RNA
Source: RNAcentral
CUAGGAUUAGAUACCCUAUUAUCAGUUUAACAGUCCGUGUCGAAUAGACUUAACAACCCUAUAAAAACAUUAUACAUGGCAGUUCUCAAUCUAAUUAGAGAAGCAUGUCAAUUAAAAAUGACAAUGCACACAAAAUAUUUCUUUUCUUAGAAUAAUCAUUUUGUACACCGCUAUCUGAAAGAAGCUUUGUAAGAAGAUUCUUACUCCUUAGGGGGAAUAAGUUAAGUUAAGGUGCAGACUAUAGAAAAGAGUUGAUGUGCCUCAGUAUGAUAUAUAGAUUUGCACUUGAACAGUGCAAAGAAAUCGAAUUUAACAGUAAAAUUGGUUA